CUUUGAAUACAAACACAAGAGUGCACACGCUGAAAUGUCUCGCCUUCUAUACUAAUCAUUGAUAUUAUGUUGAUAGUCCUAAGUAAAAAGCUAAGCUUUAUAACAACUGUACCAUAAACUUAACAUUAACCAAGAUAACUAAACAAAGACCAAUGAACCUUGAAAAUGAGGUCAAGGUCAGAUGAACCAUGCCAGACAGACAUGUACAGCUAUCAAUGCUUCUAUACAACAUAUAUAGUUGACCUAUUACUUAUUGUCUAAGAAAACUUAACACUGUGCAAUGAACCGUGAAAAUGAGGUCACGGUCAAAUAAAACCUGCGCGACUGACAUAAAGAUCAUUAAAUAUUUCCAUACACCAAAUAUAGUUGACCUAUGGCAUAUAGUAUUAGAUAAAAAGACCAAAACUCAAAAACUUAACUUUGACCACUGAACCAUGAAAAUGAGGUCAAGGUCACAUGACAUCUGCCCGCUAGACAUGUACACCUUACAAUCAUUCCAUACAACAAAUAUAGUAGACCUAUUGCAUAUAGUAUGAGAACAACAGACAAAACACAAAAAUUUAACUAUAACCACUGAACCAUGAAAAUGAGGUCAAGGUCAGAUGACACCUGCCAGUUGGACAUGUACACCUUACAGUCCUUCCAUACACCGAAUAUACUAGCC
Molecule: long non-coding RNA, 664 nt
Filed under: Mytilus galloprovincialis (Mediterranean mussel)
Lineage: Eukaryota; Metazoa; Mollusca; Bivalvia; Mytilida; Mytilidae
Source: RNAcentral